GCAAACUUGGUCAUUUAGAGGAAGUAAAAGUCGUAACAAGGUUUCCGUAGGUGAACCUGCGGAAGGAUCAUUAUUGAAUAUGCAUGAUGGGUUGUUGCUGGCUCUCCGGGGCAUGUGCACACCUAUCUUGACUUAAAUUCAUCCACCUGUGCACCCUUUGUAGUCAUUUGGAAGAUGAAGAAGCCCCUGUGGUCAGUUCAAGUAACUGGAUGUGAGGUUUGCUGGAGCACACGCGAGUGUGUAGUUUGGGCUCUCCUCUUGUUGGGUUGCCACACUCUCUCCCAAAGACUAUGUCUUUUAUCAUAUACCACUGUACCAUAGUAAAUGCAUUGGAUGGGCCUUUGUGCCCGUACAAAACACACUAUACAACUUUCAGCAACGGAUCUCUUGGCUCUCGCAUCGAUGAAGAACGCAGC
This 416-nucleotide unclassified non-coding RNA is filed under the name uncultured fungus. Its description in RNAcentral is "partial contains small subunit ribosomal RNA, internal transcribed spacer 1, and 5.8S ribosomal RNA". The stretch from base 1 to 73 matches the Rfam family "Eukaryotic small subunit ribosomal RNA", at positions 1759 to 1831 of the family's 1831-position model. Lineage: Eukaryota; Fungi. The record is from RNAcentral.